UUUGAAAAAACAAUUAAAUUUUUUAAUAUAAUUAAAGUUUUUUUUUUUUAUUAUUUAAUGAAAAAAGUAAAAUUUAAUAUUUAAAUAGUACCGGAUGGGAAAUCAAUAAUUUAAUUUAAAGAGAAUAUUAAUUUUACCUUUUGUAUCAGGGUUAAUAAAUAAUUUUUUAAAAAUCUAUUAUUCUUGAAUUUUAAAUAUUUAUUUUUAUAAGAAUUUUAUUGUUGAAUAAAUAAUUAUAAUAUAAAAAUGGAAGGGAAAUCUUAUUCAAUUUAAAAUAUAUCUAGUUGAUUUAUAAAUAAAUUUAAUUUAAAAUUAUUAGGAACAGUUAUUAUGAUAAUUGUUUAGUUUAAUUUAAAUUUUUAAAGGGUUAAUCUUUUAAUUUUUUAAUAAAUUUAUAUUAGGUAAUUUAUGUAAAAUUAAAAUUUUUAUUCAUAUUUAUUUAUUUAUUUAAAAAGUUAUUUAUUUAUUAUUUAUUAUGUUUUUAUUUUUUCUAAAUUUAAAUUUUGAAUUAUAUAAUUUUGUAAUAAUGAUUAAAUUAGUAAAUUUAAUUGUUUAUUAAUUAUUAAAUGGAAGUUAAUUAAAGGAAUUAGGCAAAUAUUUUUCUUGCUUGUUUAAUAAAAACAUCUUUUUAAGUUAAUGAUUUAAGAUAAUAUCUGCCCACUGAGGAUUAAAUGGCCGCAGUAAUUUGACUGUGCAAAGGUAGCAUAAUAAUUAGUUUCUUAAAUGGGAACUGGAAUGAAUGAUUUGACAAGGAAAAAUCUGUCUUUAUUUAAUUUAUAAUUGAAUUUUAUUUUUUAGUGAAAAAUCUAAAAUGUAAUUAGAAGACGAGAAGACCCUAUAGAAUUUUAUUUAUAUAAAAUUUAGUAUUAUAAUGGAUAAAUUUAAUUGGGGUGAUUACAAGAUAAAAACUCUUGUUUAUAAUUCAUGAUUACUUGGAUUUAUGAAUCUUUUUGAUGUUGGAAAAAUUACCUUAGGGAUAACAGCGUAAUUUUAUUUUUAAGUUCUUAUUAAAAGUAGAGAUUUCGACCUCGAUGUUGGAUUAAAAUUAAUUUUUGGUGAAGAAGCUAAAAAAUUGAGUCUGUUCGACUUUUAAAAUUUUACAUGAUCUGAGUUUAAAUCGGUGUGAGCCAGAUUGGUUUCUAUCUUUAGUAAAAAUUUAUUGACUAGUACGAGAGGACCUUCAUUAAGAAUAAUAUUUUUAUUCAGAAUUAA
This 1212-nucleotide ribosomal RNA is filed under the name Elateroidea sp. 8 KM-2017. RNAcentral's name for it is "16S ribosomal RNA". The stretch from base 823 to 1145 matches the Rfam family "Archaeal large subunit ribosomal RNA", at positions 2155 to 2712 of the family's 2987-position model. The record is from RNAcentral. Lineage: Eukaryota; Metazoa; Arthropoda; Insecta; Coleoptera.